Molecule: ribosomal RNA, 2922 nt
Filed under: Lactiplantibacillus pentosus
Lineage: Bacteria; Bacillati; Bacillota; Bacilli; Lactobacillales; Lactobacillaceae
Description: bacterial LSU rRNA
Rfam family: Bacterial large subunit ribosomal RNA
Source: RNAcentral
AGGUUAAGUUAACAAGGGCGCAUGGUGAAUGCCUUGGCACUAGGAGCCGAUGAAGGACGGGACUAACACCGAUAUGCUUCGGGGAGCUGUACGUAAGCUAUGAUCCGGAGAUUUCCGAAUGGGGCAACCCAGCAGUUUUAAUCAACUGUUACCACUAGAUGAAUUCAUAGUCUAGUUGGAGGUAAACGCUGUGAACUGAAACAUCUCAUUAGCAGCAGGAAUAUAAAGAAAUUUCGAUUCCCUAAGUAGCGGCGAGCGAACGGGGAACAGCCCAAACCAAAGUGCUUGCACUUUGGGGUUGUAGGACUGAACAUUUGAGUUACCAAAGAACUUGAUAGUCGAAGGAUUUGGGAAAAUCCGCCAUAGAUGGUGAUAGCCCAGUAGAUUAAAUCAAAUUCUCUCAGUUCAGGAUCCUGAGUACGGCGGAACACGUGAAAUUCCGUCGGAAUCCGGGAGGACCAUCUCCCAAGGCUAAAUACUACCUAGUGACCGAUAGUGAACCAGUACCGUGAGGGAAAGGUGAAAAGCACCCCGGGAGGGGAGUGAAAUAGUUCCUGAAACCAUGUGCCUACAAUAAGUCAGAGCGCGUUAAUGCGUGAUGGCGUGCCUUUUGUAGAAUGAACCGGCGAGUUAUGAUCCCGUGCAAGGUUAAGACUAAAAAGUCGGAGCCGUAGCGAAAGCGAGUCUGAAAUGGGCGAUUUGAGUACGAGGUUAUAGACCCGAAACCAGGUGACCUAUCCAUGUCCAGGUUGAAGGUGCGGUAAAACGCACUGGAGGACCGAACCCGUGUAAGUUGAAAAUUGCUGGGAUGAGGUGUGGAUAGCGGUGAAAUUCCAAACGAACUUGGAGAUAGCUGGUUCUCUCCGAAAUAGCUUUAGGGCUAGCCUCGGAUUAAGGAUCAUGGAGGUAGAGCACUAUUUGGACUAGGGGCCCGUCUUGGGUUACUGAAUUCAGAUAAACUCCGAAUGCCAUUGAUUCAUGUCCGGGAGUCAGACGAUGAGUGAUAAGAUCCACCGUCGAAAGGGGAACAGCCCAGACCAUCAGUUAAGGUCCCUAAAUGUAUGCUAAGUGGAAAAGGAUGUGGAGUUGCAUAGACAACUAGGAUGUUGGCUCAGAAGCAGCCACCAUUUAAAGAGUGCGUAAUAGCUCACUAGUCGAGUGAUCCUGCGCCGAAAAUGUACCGGGGCUAAGCAUACUACCGAAACCAUGGAUGCGACCAUUAGGUCGCGUGAUAGGAGAGCGUUCUAAGGGCGGUGAAGCAAGAUCGUGAGGACUUGUGGAGCGCUUAGAAGUGAGAAUGCCGGUAUGAGUAGCGAAAGAUAGGUGAGAAUCCUAUCCACCGAAUGACUAAGGUUUCCUGGGGAAGGCUCGUCCUCCCAGGGUUAGUCGGGACCUAAGUCGAGGCCGAGAGGCGUAGACGAUGGAUAACAGGUUGAGAUUCCUGUACUAGUUAAGUGCGUUUGAGCAAUGGAGGGACGCAGGAGGCUAAGAUGUGCAUUCUGUUGGAUUAGAAUGUCCAAGCAGUAAGUCUUGUGGAGAGUCAAAUGCUUUUCACUUUAAGGACAAGCUGUGAUGGGGAGCGAAAUUUAGUAGCGAAGCGUCUGAUGUCACACUGCCGAGAAAAGCUUCUAGUGAGUACUUAACUACCCGUACCGCAAACCGACACAGGUAGUCGAGGAGAGAAUCCUAAGGUGAGCGAGUGAACUCUCGUUAAGGAACUCGGCAAAAUGACCCCGUAACUUCGGGAGAAGGGGUGCUGAUCGCAAGAUCAGCCGCAGUGAAUAGGCCCAGGCGACUGUUUAUCAAAACACAGGUCUCUGCAAAAUCGUAAGAUGACGUAUAGGGGCUGACGCCUGCCCGGUGCUGGAAGGUUAAAAGGAUGGGUUAGCUUCGGCGAAGCUCAGAAUUGAAGCCCCAGUAAACGGCGGCCGUAACUAUAACGGUCCUAAGGUAGCGAAAUUCCUUGUCGGGUAAGUUCCGACCCGCACGAAAGGCGUAACGAUCUGGGCACUGUCUCAACGAGAGACUCGGUGAAAUUAUAUUGUCCGUGAAGAUGCGGACUACCCGCGACAGGACGGAAAGACCCCAUGGAGCUUUACUGUAGCUUGAUAUUGAGUGUUUGUACAGCUUGUACAGGAUAGGUAGGAGCCAUAGAAACCGGAACGCUAGUUUCGGUGGAGGCGUUGGUGGGAUACUACCCUCGCUGUAUGACCACUCUAACCCGCACCACUAAUCGUGGUGGGAGACAGUGUCAGGUGGGCAGUUUGACUGGGGCGGUCGCCUCCUAAAAAGUAACGGAGGCGCCCAAAGGUUCCCUCAGAAUGGUUGGAAAUCAUUCGCAGAGUGUAAAGGCACAAGGGAGCUUGACUGCGAGACAGACAGGUCGAGCAGGGACGAAAGUCGGGCUUAGUGAUCCGGUGGUACCGUAUGGAAGGGCCAUCGCUCAACGGAUAAAAGCUACCCUGGGGAUAACAGGCUUAUCUCCCCCAAGAGUCCACAUCGACGGGGAGGUUUGGCACCUCGAUGUCGGCUCAUCGCAUCCUGGGGCUGUAGUCGGUCCCAAGGGUUGGGCUGUUCGCCCAUUAAAGCGGUACGCGAGCUGGGUUCAGAACGUCGUGAGACAGUUCGGUCCCUAUCCGUCGCGGGCGUAGGAAAUUUGAGAGGACCUGUCCUUAGUACGAGAGGACCGGGAUGGACAUACCUCUGGUGUACCAGUUGUGCCGCCAGGCGCAUCGCUGGGUAGCUACGUAUGGAUGUGAUAAACGCUGAAAGCAUCUAAGUGUGAAACACACCUCGAGAUGAGAUUUCCCAUUCCUUUAUGGAAGUAAGACCCCUGAAAGAUGAUCAGGUAGAUAGGUUAGAAGUGGCAGUGCGGUGACGCAUGAAGCGGACUAAUACUAAUCGGUCGAGGACUUAACCAAG